GCUUAUAUAGUCUAGUUGGUUAGGAUGUGUCUGUUUUGUAUUGAGUGUUUUCAGGAUGGCGUGAGUUCGAAUCCCGCAAGGCGCC
Molecule: non-coding RNA, 85 nt
Organism: Mycena sp. CBHHK59/15
Lineage: Eukaryota; Fungi; Basidiomycota; Agaricomycetes; Agaricales; Mycenaceae
Source: the annotation of a GenBank genome assembly